UUGCUUGGUGGACAGUGGGGAACGGGUGAGUAACACGUGAGCAACCUGCCCUGGACUCUGGGAUAAGCGCUGGAAACGGCGUCUAAUACUGGAUAUGAGCCCCUAUCGCAUGGUGGGGGUUGGAAAGAUUUUUUGGUCUGGGAUGGGCUCGCGGCCUAUCAGCUUGUUGGUGAGGUAAUGGCUCACCAAGGCGUCGACGGGUAGCCGGCCUGAGAGGGUGACCGGCCACACUGGGACUGAGACACGGCCCAGACUCCUACGGGAGGCAGCAGUGGGGAAUAUUGCACAAUGGGCGGAAGCCUGAUGCAGCAACGCCGCGUGAGGGAUGACGGCCUUCGGGUUGUAAACCUCUUUUAGCAAGGAAGAAGCGAAAGUGACGGUACUUGCAGAAAAAGCGCCGGCUAACUACGUGCCAGCAGCCGCGGUAAUACGUAGGGCGCAAGCGUUAUCCGGAAUUAUUGGGCGUAAAGAGCUCGUAGGCGGUUUGUCGCGUCUGCUGUGAAAUCCCGAGGCUCAACCUCGGGCCUGCAGUGGGUACGGGCAGACUAGAGUGCGGUAGGGGAGAUUGGAAUUCCUGGUGUAGCGGUGGAAUGCGCAGAUAUCAGGAGGAACACCGAUGGCGAAGGCAGAUCUCUGGGCCGUAACUGACGCUGAGGAGCGAAAGGGUGGGGAGCAAACAGGCUUAGAUACCCUGGUAGUCCACCCCGUAAACGUUGGGAACUAGUUGUGGGGGUCCUUUCCACGGAUUCCGUGACGCAGCUAACGCAUUAAGUUCCCCGCCUGGGGAGUACGGCCGCAAGGCUAAAACUCAAAGGAAUUGACGGGGACCCGCACAAGCGGCGGAGCAUGCGGAUUAAUUCGAUGCAACGCGAAGAACCUUACCCAAGGGCUUGACAUACACGAGCAACACCCCUAGAAAUAGGGGGACUCUUUGGGACACUCGUGUACAGGUGGUGCAUGGGAUGUCGGUCAGGCUUCGUGUCGUGAGAUGUUGGGCUUAAGUCCGGCAACCGAGCGCUAGCCCUCGUCCUAUG
Molecule: ribosomal RNA, 1034 nt
Filed under: Microbacterium sp. UAPS0161
Lineage: Bacteria; Bacillati; Actinomycetota; Actinomycetes; Micrococcales; Microbacteriaceae
Description: bacterial SSU rRNA
Rfam family: Bacterial small subunit ribosomal RNA
Source: RNAcentral